Molecule: unclassified non-coding RNA, 263 nt
Filed under: plant metagenome
Description: partial contains small subunit ribosomal RNA, internal transcribed spacer 1, and 5.8S ribosomal RNA
Source: RNAcentral
UUUCCGUAGGUGAACCUGCGGAAGGAUCAUUAUCGAGUUUUGACUGGGUUGUAGUUGGCCUUCCGAGGCAUGUGCACGCCCUGCUCAUCCACUCUACACCUGUGCACUUACUGUGGGUAUCAGAUCGUGAAGCGUGCUCUUUUACCGGAGCUUGUGAAGCGUGUCUGUGCCUGCGUUUAUCACAAACACUAUGAAGUAUCAGAAUGUGUAUUACGAUGUAACACAUCUAUAUGCAACUUUCAGCAACGGAUCUCUUGGCUCUC